CUUCCCCCUCAGUGUUCCCGGGUCCCACUCCUGUUCCUUUUGCCCCUGCAGUACGGAGGGGGGAGGGGGUGGAGCCCUCCCCCUGCCCACUCCAGCUGUCAAUCCCUGUCUGGCAGAAAGACGUGAAGCUUCGUGACAGCUGUGGGCAACUUUCCUCAGCCCCGCCUCCCGCCCCUGCCCUGCCCUCUUCCCC
Molecule: long non-coding RNA, 193 nt
Filed under: Dasypus novemcinctus (nine-banded armadillo)
Lineage: Eukaryota; Metazoa; Chordata; Mammalia; Cingulata; Dasypodidae
Description: lncRNA (ENSDNOG00000051823.1)
Source: RNAcentral